AUUGAACGCUGGCGGCAUGCCUUACACAUGCAAGUCGAACGGUAACGGGCCUUCGGGUGCCGACGAGUGGCGAACGGGUGAGUAAUGCAUCGGAACGUACCUUUCAGUGGGGGAUAACGUAGCGAAAGUUACGCUAAUACCGCAUAUUCUGUGAGCAGGAAAGCAGGGGAUCGCAAGACCUUGCGCUGAUUGAGCGGCCGAUGUCAGAUUAGCUAGUUGGUGAGGUAAAGGCUCACCAAGGCGACGAUCUGUAGCGGGUCUGAGAGGAUGAUCCGCCACACUGGAACUGAGACACGGUCCAGACUCCUACGGGAGGCAGCAGUGGGGAAUUUUGGACAAUGGGGGCAACCCUGAUCCAGCCAUGCCGCGUGAGUGAAGAAGGCCUCGGUGUAAGCUCUUCGGUCCGGG
This 408-nucleotide ribosomal RNA is filed under the name uncultured bacterium. RNAcentral's name for it is "bacterial SSU rRNA". It matches the Rfam family "Bacterial small subunit ribosomal RNA", at positions 30 to 444 of the family's 1533-position model. The record is from RNAcentral.